GAGUUUGAUCAUGGCUCAGAUUGAACGCUGGCGGCAGGCCUAACACAUGCAAGUCGAACGGUAACAGGAAACAGCUUGCUGUUUCGCUGACGAGUGGCGGACGGGUGAGUAAUGUCUGGGAAACUGCCUGAUGGAGGGGGAUAACUACUGGAAACGGUAGCUAAUACCGCAUAACGUCGCAAGACCAAAGAGGGGGACCUUCGGGCCUCUUGCCAUCAGAUGUGCCCAGAUGGGAUUAGCUAGUAGGUGGGGUAACGGCUCACCUAGGCGACGAUCCCUAGCUGGUCUGAGAGGAUGACCAGCCACACUGGAACUGAGACACGGUCCAGACUCCUACGGGAGGCAGCAGUGGGGAAUAUUGCACAAUGGGCGCAAGCCUGAUGCAGCCAUGCCGCGUGUAUGAAGAAGGCCUUCGGGUUGUAAAGUACUUUCAGCGGGGAGGAAGGGAGUAAAGUUAAUACCUUUGCUCAUUGACGUUACCCGCAGAAGAAGCACCGGCUAACUCCGUGCCAGCAGCCGCGGUAAUACGGAGGGUGCAAGCGUUAAUCGGAAUUACUGGGCGUAAAGCGCACGCAGGCGGUUUGUUAAGUCAGAUGUGAAAUCCCCGGGCUCAACCUGGGAACUGCAUCUGAUACUGGCAAGCUUGAGUCUCGUAGAGGGGGGUAGAAUUCCAGGUGUAGCGGUGAAAUGCGUAGAGAUCUGGAGGAAUACCGGUGGCGAAGGCGGCCCCCUGGACGAAGACUGACGCUCAGGUGCGAAAGCGUGGGGAGCAAACAGGAUUAGAUACCCUGGUAGUCCACGCCGUAAACGAUGUCGACUUGGAGGUUGUGCCCUUGAGGCGUGGCUUCCGGAGCUAACGCGUUAAGUCGACCGCCUGGGGAGUACGGCCGCAAGGUUAAAACUCAAAUGAAUUGACGGGGGCCCGCACAAGCGGUGGAGCAUGUGGUUUAAUUCGAUGCAACGCGAAGAACCUUACCUGGUCUUGACAUCCACGGAAGUUUUCAGAGAUGAGAAUGUGCCUUCGGGAACCGUGAGACAGGUGCUGCAUGGCUGUCGUCAGCUCGUGUUGUGAAAUGUUGGGUUAAGUCCCGCAACGAGCGCAACCCUUAUCCUUUGUUGCCAGCGGUCCGGCCGGGAACUCAAAGGAGACUGCCAGUGAUAAACUGGAGGAAGGUGGGGAUGACGUCAAGUCAUCAUGGCCCUUACGACCAGGGCUACACACGUGCUACAAUGGCGCAUACAAAGAGAAGCGACCUCGCGAGAGCAAGCGGACCUCAUAAAGUGCGUCGUAGUCCGGAUUGGAGUCUGCAACUCGACUCCAUGAAGUCGGAAUCGCUAGUAAUCGUGGAUCAGAAUGCCACGGUGAAUACGUUCCCGGGCCUUGUACACACCGCCCGUCACACCAUGGGAGUGGGUUGCAAAAGAAGUAGGUAGCUUAACCUUCGGGAGGGCGCUUACCACUUUGUGAUUCAUGACUGGGGUGAAGUCGUAACAAGGUAACCGUAGGGGACCUGCGGUUG
This 1520-nucleotide ribosomal RNA is filed under the name metagenome. Its description in RNAcentral is "bacterial SSU rRNA". It matches the Rfam family "Bacterial small subunit ribosomal RNA". The record is from RNAcentral.